Non-coding RNA from Styela clava, 1132 nucleotides. The record is from RefSeq and is a predicted model, not a curated record. NCBI's taxonomy places the organism in Eukaryota, Metazoa, Chordata, Ascidiacea, Stolidobranchia, Styelidae.
AAUCAAGUGACGUCAAAAUUUCAAAGCGGAUUACACUGCUGGAAUCUUUUUGAACCAACUAAAUUUUUUGAUGAUUUCUGACAUGCUGGGUUUUCUAGUGCUGAAAUUUUGUGGCGAUGCAUGGCGGAAAUUGUUUUCUGCUAUUCACUGGCAGGCUUUCCGUUUUAAGUUCGGAUACAUCAAGCCGGGUCAAACAGGAUCCACAUCUAAUAAGCCAUAUAAUACUCGUAUAUCGACCUUGAAUGUUUUACUUUCACUUAAAUUUACAUGGUAACCCAUUGUCGAACUAAAUCCGAGUUUAUUAUUUUCACUGCAGCCGCCGUAAUAUUCCACAAUAUUAUAUAUAUAUAUUCAAUACUUUCUCGCUUCGCACUCAACAACUCUGGUCUAGGUCUAACCUGCCGGCACCCACAUUUCAAUGAAUGAGAUACUGUUGAAAUCUUCAACUGUCGAAAUUGAGAGUACUCAGAGAUGUCAGACAGUGAAAACUGUCUGUGACCCAAAUCACGUCAGCGAAGAAAAAGAAGCAACAUCUGCCUCAGUUUAUUCAUAUCAAGAGACAAUAGCCAACACAAUGGGUUGCCUGAGUGGCAAGGCGGUCAUUAUACCGUGAAAUGAAAACUUCCCAGCAAGGCAGCGAAAUUACAGAUACGGACUAUACAGUUACGGACUACGGCAUUGGCAAGAUCUGAAAUAACAUUCGCCCAACACUACUUUCAACAAACUUGCGGUCGAACAAUCCACAUUGUAGAAACGUUAACGUAAAAGGUUUCGACAAUCAACAGCAGUUUUACGACUGAUAGUGCGACUUUACAACGCCCGAACUCUAAAGAAAUGUUCUCUUGCAUGUUGAACGUCGUUCUAAAUUGCCAUAUUUUCAUAAACUACAUUGACAGAACGUAAUUACCCAGUGUAUGACUAAUGCAAUUAAAUACACGUAAUGUUUGUUCAAAUAAUAAUAGUAAUACCUUGAUUGGGAAGUUUGUUGCUUAUGUUUUUAUUACUCUCUACUUUUCUCUUCUUUGGAGUAGGGAAUACUGAAGAUUCUGAAUCCGUACUGUUUGUGCUUCCGCGCAUUCUACGCUUGAUCAUUUCUUGAUUCAAUGUACUUCCAUAAUAGACUUCAUUAAAA